This 368-nucleotide ribosomal RNA is filed under the name Palisada crustiformans. Its description in RNAcentral is "bacterial LSU rRNA". It matches the Rfam family "Bacterial large subunit ribosomal RNA", at positions 2099 to 2465 of the family's 2925-position model. The record is from RNAcentral. Lineage: Eukaryota; Rhodophyta; Florideophyceae; Ceramiales; Rhodomelaceae.
CUUUACUGUAGUUUGGAAUUGAUUUCGGGUUUAUUUUGCGCAGUAUAGGUGGGAGGCUAAGAAUUUAUAUUUGCGGAUGUAAAAGAGCCAAUAGUGAGAUACCACUCUGAUUAAACUAGAAGUCUAAUCUUGAUGCCGUUAUCCGGCCAAGAAACAUUUUCAGAUGGGCAGUUUGACUGGGGCGGUCGCCUCCUAAAAAGUAACGGAGGCGUGCAAAGGUUUUCUCAGACUGGUCGGAAAUCAGUCGUAGAGUGUAAAGGCAUAAGAAAGCUUGACUGUGAGACCUACAAGUCGAACAGAGACGAAAGUCGGCCUUAGUGAUCCGACAGUUCUGAGUGGAAAGGCUGUCGCUCAACGGAUAAAAGUUA